AACUCAAACAUAAUAAUGAUAUUGGGUUUAAACUCCAAAUUCGAAUCACAAGUCCAAGCAAAAAAUAAAACACUAGUCCAGGUAGAUUAAAAGAAACAAGCCCAUUUUUUUUCUUCCUUUUCUUUUUUCUUUCUUCUUCUUCCUCACCUCCGGUGAGCUUCAAGCUUUAGCAGCUGCCGACAACCAUGGCAAACGCUGUCGGCUGGCCGACCACCGGUCACUGAAGACUUUUCCAAUCAUCAAAAUCAGCCAAAAUACAUCUCUCAAUUCGAUUUUUCGCAUAGAAUUCAUUUCUGUGCUUGGUUUUUUACAAAAAUGCACAAAAAUGGGUCAACUUGUGAAUUUACAGUCGAGCUUUAUUUUUUUAAAAAUUGCUCAAAUUAACACUAAAAUUCACUAAACCUACACAAAAACAACCCUUAUGGAUCUAGAGUGCAACUAUGGCUUUAGUUUGACAAAAACAAAAACAACAAAAUGAUAAUUAAAGCGAAAACAGCUCCAAAUGAAUAAAUCUAUUUCAUUGCUUUUAAGGCACAAAAACUUCCAAAAUUUGGAUAACAAAACAUUUUCCAAGUCUUGUACUAGCUAUAAUUGUCUAUUUCAACAAAAUAUAUACACAAACUUCACCCUUUUAAUUCGGUUUUUCAUUUUGACAUUUUUUCAAACACUUGAAAUGCAUACACAAAAACCAUUUUUUCCUUAAUCUUGUUUAUGACCCCUCCCAAAAUUGAAAAUUUCAACUACACAACAACCAAAGAAACCAGCAAAAGAAAGAGAAAAUUAAAAAACAAAACAUGGUUCAAGUUUUUUGGUAAAAUUUCUAAGCCUUAACUGUCCAUUUGUUUCCUUUCCUCAUCUUUCUUUUCCCUAAAAACUAGUACAUGUGAGAGCCAAGGGAGGAAAGAAGAAAAAAAAUGGAGAGAAGUGUGUGCUUGUUUUGAAAGUGAAAGUGAGAGAGGGAGCAGAGAGAGUUGUGAAAGUUGGAGGGAGUUGGUGUUUUUGUCUCGAGAU
Molecule: long non-coding RNA, 1011 nt
Filed under: Coffea arabica (coffee)
Lineage: Eukaryota; Viridiplantae; Streptophyta; Magnoliopsida; Gentianales; Rubiaceae
Description: long non-coding RNA (CARA_LNC005591)
Source: RNAcentral